ACCUAAAUAGUUUAUUUAAAACAUUAAUUUGUGGAAUUAAAGAUAUAUUUGGAUAUUUUAGGUA
Molecule: transfer RNA, 64 nt
Filed under: Cyrtotrachelus buqueti
Lineage: Eukaryota; Metazoa; Arthropoda; Insecta; Coleoptera; Curculionidae
Description: tRNA-His
Source: RNAcentral